GAUGAAGAACGUAGUGAAAUGCGAUACUUGGUGUGAAUUGCAGAAUCCCGUGAACCAUCGAGUCUUUGAACGCAAGUUGCGCCCGAAGCCAUCAGGUUGAGGGCACGUCUGCCUGGGCGUCACAUAUCGUUGCUCGAUGCCUAUCGCAUUGCGAUAGGACUUAGGGCGAAUGAUGGCUUCCCGUGAGCGUUGUUGCCUCGCGGUUGGUUGAAAAUCGAGUCCUUGGUAGGGUGUGCCAUGAUAGAUGGUGGUCGAGUUAGCACGAGACCGAUAAUGUGCAUGCUCCCCAAAAUAUGGCCUCUGUGACCCACACGCGUCUUUUGACGCUCAUGAUGAGACCUCAGGUCAGGCGGGGCUACCCGCUGAAUUUAAGCAUAUCAAUAAGCGGAGGA
This 392-nucleotide unclassified non-coding RNA is filed under the name soil metagenome. RNAcentral's name for it is "partial contains 5.8S ribosomal RNA, internal transcribed spacer 2, and large subunit ribosomal RNA". The stretch from base 1 to 122 matches the Rfam family "5.8S ribosomal RNA", at positions 35 to 154 of the family's 154-position model. The record is from RNAcentral.